Molecule: transfer RNA, 72 nt
Filed under: Fundulus luciae (spotfin kllifish)
Lineage: Eukaryota; Metazoa; Chordata; Actinopteri; Cyprinodontiformes; Fundulidae
Description: tRNA-Thr
Rfam family: tRNA
About the family: Transfer RNA (tRNA) molecules are approximately 80 nucleotides in length. Their secondary structure includes four short double-helical elements and three loops (D, anti-codon, and T loops). Further hydrogen bonds mediate the characteristic L-shaped molecular structure. tRNAs have two regions of fundamental functional importance: the anti-codon, which is responsible for specific mRNA codon recognition, and the 3' end, to which the tRNAs corresponding amino acid is attached (by aminoacyl-tRNA synthetases). tRNAs cope with the degeneracy of the genetic code in two manners: having more than one tRNA (with a specific anti-codon) for a particular amino acid; and 'wobble' base-pairing, i.e. permitting non-standard base-pairing at the 3rd anti-codon position.
Source: RNAcentral
GUACUAGUAGCUCAACGACUAAAGCCUCGGUCUUGUAAACCGAACAUAAGGGUUAAAAUCCCUUCUAGCACU